Molecule: transfer RNA, 82 nt
Filed under: Ixodes scapularis (black-legged tick)
Lineage: Eukaryota; Metazoa; Arthropoda; Arachnida; Ixodida; Ixodidae
Rfam family: tRNA
About the family: Transfer RNA (tRNA) molecules are approximately 80 nucleotides in length.
Source: Rfam by way of RNAcentral
GCAGUCGUGGCCGAGUGGUUAAGGCGAUGGACGAGAAAUCCAUUGAGGUCUCCCCGCACAGGUUCGACUCCUGUCGACUGCG